RNAcentral lists this ribosomal RNA (501 nucleotides) under uncultured bacterium. RNAcentral's name for it is "partial 16S ribosomal RNA". It matches the Rfam family "Bacterial small subunit ribosomal RNA", at positions 30 to 523 of the family's 1533-position model. The record is from RNAcentral.
AUUGAACGCUGGCGGCAUGCCUUACACAUGCAAGUCGAACGGCAGCACGGGUGCUUGCACCUGGUGGCGAGUGGCGAACGGGUGAGUAAUACAUCGGAACGUACCUUAUCGUGGGGGAUAACGCAGCGAAAGUUGCGCUAAUACCGCAUACGCCCUGAGGGGGAAAGCGGGGGACCGUAAGGCCUCGCGCGAUUAGAGCGGCCGAUGCCUGAUUAGCUUGUUGGUGAGGUAAAAGCUCACCAAGGCGAUGAUCAGUAGCUGGUCUGAGAGGACGAUCAGCCACACUGGGACUGAGACACGGCCCAGACUCCUACGGGAGGCAGCAGUGGGGAAUUUUGGACAAUGGGGGCAACCCUGAUCCAGCAAUGCCGCGUGAGUGAAGAAGGCCUUCGGGUUGUAAAGCCCUUUUGUCAGGGAAGAAACAGCAGCUCUAACACAGUCUGCGAAUGACGGUACCUGAAGAAUAAGCACCGGCUAACUACGUGCCAGCCGCCGCAGUAA